This is a long non-coding RNA of Zea mays, 690 nucleotides long. RefSeq lists it as uncharacterized. The record is from RefSeq and is a predicted model, not a curated record. Lineage: Eukaryota; Viridiplantae; Streptophyta; Magnoliopsida; Poales; Poaceae. The transcript has 3 exons.
ACCUCGAUCGCUUCGUAUAAUGAUUUAUCUGUUCCUAGAAUUUGAAUGAGGAGAAGGUUGGAUAUGCAAUCACGAAUCAGUUGAACUUCACACAAACUGAAUGCUUAAUCUUUUUUCCCGUAAAAUUCCACACAGGUUGUGGAGGAUCGGUCACAACAUAAGAACUGAGCGUCUGCUUUAUCUCGACUUCGAACCCUGAUUGCUCUUAAAGUUAGGAGGCCGAUAAACCUGGAAGACUACACUCCACCUGUUGAGCUUCUUCAGAUAUUACCCCUGAAGUCCAGCGUUAGAGGAAAAGAUGUUGGCCCCCAAAUCGGUCCAAAUAACUCAAAAUUUUCUACAGUAUGUUCCUAUUGUUAUAAUUCAAUGGCUAAUGCAUUAUGCAUGUGUUUUGCUGUCAUUGGUCCUUGCGAUUUGCAUAUUUAAACACCUCCCUUUGUACUUCGUUUUCCACUGGGCAGGGAAUGCAAGCAUUAUUAGACCUGCUGUUUGCUGUUGAAGGUUCUGUAUUAGAUGCAGCAAAGAUUUUAGGCCUAAGCACUGGUGCUUUGUCAAGAUUGAUUCUGUCAGAUGAUUCUCUCCGAACGGCCGCGAAUGAACUGCGAGCUUCGAAGGUAACCCUGCAAAUAUGUGAGCUGGCCACAAAUGCCUAUUCAUUGAUUAGAGGAUACCGCAUUCCAAACUUUAGGC